This is a long non-coding RNA of Myodes glareolus (Bank vole), 3903 nucleotides long. RefSeq lists it as uncharacterized. Lineage: Eukaryota; Metazoa; Chordata; Mammalia; Rodentia; Cricetidae. The record is from RefSeq and is a predicted model, not a curated record.
GGGCCCGCCCCACUAGAGGCCCCGCCCUCCCGAGUCCCGGAAGUUUGCUCUCCACGCUGGCAGCUUGUCUGGAGGGCCCAGGAGGAAAUCCAUCCCCAGGAACAUUACGGAAAGGAGACCCAUGUAAACUGCUGCUACGAGGAAGCCUCCCUGGUUUUCAGGUUCCCAGUGACAUAUUCCUCUGACAUCUUAUUUAGAAGUUGGCAUGAUGGUUCAGAGGUAUGGAACUCUUGCUGCUCGUCGGCAUCAGCCCCUUAGACCUGGUGCUUUACAGAACACAGUGUAACUACAGAAACAAGCCAGGGAGCUUGGCUGAGUUGUUCAAAGUAGCACAUAGUCUAACAAGUUGGAGCCUUCGGCAGCUGUGUUCUGUGGACGGGGCUACUCCAGAUGGUGACGUGGCAACCUUGAUGAGCCCCUGGUCCCCACGCUAAGGCCUUGUUUGUCCCAGUCGGGUUCCUUCCUCUCCUUUCCUUCCAGCUCUGUUCCCAAACCACUUCUGUGUUUCUCCUUCCCUCAAUGUCCUCUUGACAGCUCUCAGCUUCAGUUUGUUCUGCAACUAAGACAUAGUUGAGAUUGUGCUUAAAAAAGAAUGUAAGCCUCUAGUCUGUAAAGUUACCCUUUCUGUACAAAUGCGUGUCCAUUUAUCCUCUGGUUACAAACCAACCUAAGGAGUCCCUGUGUGGGACACACUGGCUGGUGCAAGUGAGGCUCUAAAGAAAUGAGAAAUGGGUUGUUUACCCAGUGCGAUGCUAGAGCUACAGGGACAUUUGGGUUCGGCAGAGGCCUGUCCAGAGGUGCUCUUAAUCUCCGUGAAGUUCCACUUCUGGGAAGGUGCAGACAUCCCAUGACUUUGGUCACCAGAUGCCUCAGGAUCAUCUUGUAUUUUAAUUUACUGUGUAAAUUAAAUUAGGAACCUUGGUAUGAGGAAAUACUUCGUGUAACUUUCAAUAAAGACACCUUUGUAUGGCUCUUCAGGGACUCAAUUCAUCAGAAGAGGCUGGACCUUCCUGCUACCACAUAGGCCCGAAAAUUUCAUCUUGGAGUGCCUUCUUUCUUUAACAGACCCGCACUGCACGGUGCACCCCAACAGGAAGGCUUUUUUUCUAAAGUAAGAGGGCUGCGGGGACCACCAGUUCCUAGAACAGUUUAAAAAUCCACGUUUCCUUCCAUCCUCCUUUGCAUCUUUGUUCUGGGAAAUGAGAAGCAGGCCAAUGUGUUGCUACUUCAGAAAGAACUGCUUGGAAGGCUAUGGGUUUCCAAGUACCCAUGCAAUUCCGUUCAGUGAGUUCCCAGGAAUAAUGGGGCCUCUUUUUUUCCCUAAGAUUUAUUUGAUUUUUAAAUGUAUGUGUAUGUGUGAAGACAUGCAUGCUGGUACCUGUGAGGCUGGAAGGGAAAACUGUAGUCCCUAACUAGAGUCACAGGUGAUUUUGAGCUACCUUAUUCGUGUUCUGGGUCCCCUAAGAGCAGCAAGUGCGCUCUGUUAACUGCUGGACCGUCUGUCUCCCUCUCCUCUUGAAGAUAGUUUGUCACAGACACGGACCACUGCUCUCGCAGAACAGCAGAAUGUAUUUCUGAGCUGAAUUCCAUGAGCAAACACAGUCACACACUGGCCUGCCUGCUCAAGGUGGUGGCUGGCUACCUUGGGAUUGUGCAAGAUGGCACUGUGGCUGACCUGUAAUGGAAGCAAGUCUGACGCAGGUGGAAGGACAGACAGAUUGACCACGUGAAUCAAGCUUCUCUCAGAGCACCAGAAUUUCACAAUGUGCAGGUUAAUGACAUCACAGGGGGGGAAAUAACAAAGUGUAACUGGCGUUGCUAACAAGUCACAAACACGGAACGUCCCGGAUUCAAAUGUGUACUUGGUCGGUGAGGAAAAAGAAAAUAAUGCUUCAGUUGCACGGUUUCAAUGCCCACUACAUGGGACUUGGGCCGAGAACUCCCUCAAGUCUUGUUUGGAGUCAGUACAACCAAUAUUUGAAGUUGGAAAAAGCAAACAUAGGUUUGGAUUUCUGUGAAGCUGUAUGAAAUGACAGGGGAAAUUUGCAUCAGUGAAAUACUUGUUAGAACAGUGUUUGAAAGGAGGCAAUUUCUUUCACGUAUCUUUGGAACCUUUUAUAGUAUUGCAAAAAUGAAGGAAGGCCAGGAGGUGGUGGCGCACGCCUUUAAUCCCAGCACUUGGGAGGCAGACACAGGUGAUCUCUGUGAUUUCGAGUUCCAGAACAGGCUCCAAAACUACAGAGAAACCCUGUCUUGGGGGGGAAAAAAAAGAAAGGGAAGAAAGUCAGAUCACAUAUAUAUUUUAUGAGCUUUAAACUUACACAUUUUUAAGGAUAAAAAUAAUGGCAACAUAAUUACCGAUGAUGCUCACAACUGCUCACCGUUUUGUGAGUCAUCAAUAAUAGGAAACAUGCCAUAACUGAAACAAAUUCCUCUCCUCAUAUAUUUUAGGAAAAACUUGGCAACAGGUAGCAUAAUCCCCAAGCUACGAUACAAUCAUUUCGUCUAUGUAAAGCUAUCUAGAAGUAGGAAGGGCUGGGGUUGGCUAACAGCUCUGCCAGGUCUGGGUCAGAUUUUCCAUGGACUGCCCUCUCCAUGGCAGAUUUUCCACAACCAGGACUGCCUAGUGACUGUGAGAGAGCGGGCACAGCUCUGUGUGUAGUGGCCUUACAUGCUUUGUCCAAGUCAGGAGGAAGCAUUCUCACGCAUCUUCUUGUCCGAGGAAAACAUCUCUCCUCCCUGACAGUUUUCAGUCAGGCCUCACCUUGUGGUCCACUGGCCCAGAACUGGCUUUCAUUCCCUCUCUCAACAAUAAUAAUGGUAACAAUAGUAACAAAUGGUGGACAGACUAGAAUUACCCAUAAUUCAUGUAGCACAGGGUCCAGGAAACUCCUGAAAAGGACCAGCUAGCAAACACUGGAGACUUUCCAGGACACGCUGUCUCUACCAUGUGCGUUCAGCUUUACCACUGUAGAACCAUGGGCACUGCAGAUAGUUAAGUGAAACUGUUUUCCAACAAGACUUCAUUUUUCUUUGCACAUGGAAAUUUCAUCUCAUAUUAGUGAGAAUGCUUCUUUAGUUUGCUGUGAUGAAACCAUGACCAAAAGCAAUUCGAUUGCUCUUACAGAUUAGAGUCCAUGUCUAAGUCUGUAAAAAACUGACAAAAGCAAUGACAGCAUCUAAUUUUAACUUCUCACACUAUAUCAUUCUUGCGUUUUUCAACUCUUUGAAGUCAAGUUUUUUAAAGCAUUUGGAACAGUUGGAGGAGUAGGCUUGUCAACUAGGUUCAGUAUGAGUGCUUUGCUCCCUUAGAGCUGUAGGAGGGGCCCACAUUCUCUGAGAUUAAAACACCCCUGCUUGAAAAGAGGAGAAAGCAGUGGAUCCCCAAAUUUUCUAGCGGCAAUCUUCUUCACUCAAAAAUUUUUAUGUGACCUCAGGUAUUUAGGGAGCUAAAAUAGAUGUACAAAUCAAACAUUCACUUAUAAUAAACCCUAAAGUUGCUUUAAAACAAUUCUUUGGUAUACAUAUCUUGUUUGUUUAUUUGUUUGUUCGAGACAGGGUUUCUCUGUGUAACAGCCCUAGCUGGUCUGGGAGUCGCUCUGUAAACCAGGCUCGCCGUGAACUCACAACGAUCCACCUGCCUCUGCCUCAGAAUAAAAGGAAAGUGUCCCCACCUCUGGCAAGUUCCCACAUCUUUGCCAAGUCAUUGAAAUAGCCUUUGGUAGAGAGAGCCACACUCCCAGGGCGUUCACAUAGCAAUUCCACAUGGGGAAGAAGUUGCAGAGGCUGGAACUGAACUGUGUCGCGAUAACGUGUCCCGUGGGCACUUUCUGAGAGUCUUCUGAAUGUGACAGCAGCGUGGCCCUGAGUCCUGCUUGAAUCCCAUUUCACAGGCAGGGUUCU